Molecule: ribosomal RNA, 441 nt
Filed under: uncultured bacterium
Lineage: Bacteria
Description: partial 16S ribosomal RNA
Rfam family: Bacterial small subunit ribosomal RNA
Source: RNAcentral
CCUACGGGGGGCAGCAGUGGGGAAUAUUGCACAAUGAGGGAAACCCUGAUGCAGCAACGCAGCGUGCGUGAAGAAGUAUUUCGGUAUGUAAAGCUCUAUCAUCAGGGAAGAAGAAAGACGGUACCUGACUAAGAAGCCCCGGCUAAAUACGUGCCAGAAGCCGCGGUAAUACGUAGGCGGCAAGCGUUAUCCGGAUUUACUGGGUGUAAAGGGAGCGUAGGCGGCUGUGCAAGUCUGGAGGGAAAGCCCGUGGCUCAACCGCGGAACUGCUUUGGAGACUGUAUAGCUUGAGUACUGGAGAGGCAGGCGGAAUUCCUAGUGUAGCGGUGAAAUGCGUAGAUAUAAGGAGGAACACCAGUGGCGAAGGCGGCCUGCUGGACAGAAACUGACGUUGAGGCUCGAAAGCGUGGGGAGCAAACAGGAUUAGAUACCCGAGUAGUC